RNAcentral lists this ribosomal RNA (389 nucleotides) under uncultured bacterium. RNAcentral describes it as "bacterial SSU rRNA". It matches the Rfam family "Bacterial small subunit ribosomal RNA", at positions 29 to 420 of the family's 1533-position model. The record is from RNAcentral.
AUUGAACGCUGGCGGCAUGCUUUACACAUGCAAGUCGAACGGUAACAGGCCUUCGGGCGCUGACGAGUGGCGAACGGGUGAGUAAUGCAUCGGAACGUGCCCAGUAGUGGGGGAUAGCCCGGCGAAAGCCGGAUUAAUACCGCAUACGACCUAAGGGUGAAAGGGGGGGAGUCGCAAGACCUCUCGCUAUUGGAGCGGCCGAUGUCAGAUUAGGUAGUUGGUGGGGUAAAGGCCUACCAAGCCUGCGAUCUGUAGCUGGUUUGAGAGGACGACCAGCCACACUGGGACUGAGACACGGCCCAGACUCCUACGGGAGGCAGCAGUGGGGAAUUUUGGACAAUGGGCGCAAGCCUGAUCCAGCAAUGCCGCGUGCGGGAAGAAGGCCUCGG